RNAcentral lists this ribosomal RNA (460 nucleotides) under uncultured bacterium. RNAcentral's name for it is "partial 16S ribosomal RNA". It matches the Rfam family "Bacterial small subunit ribosomal RNA", at positions 338 to 795 of the family's 1533-position model. The record is from RNAcentral.
CCUACGGGUGGCAGCAGUGAGGAAUAUUGGUCAAUGGCCGGAAGGCUGAACCAGCCAUGCCGCGUGAAGGUCAGUGCCCUAUGGGCGUUAAACUUCUUUUGUGCGGGAGCAAUAAUGGUCACGUGUGGCCAGACGAGAGUACCGUACGAAUAAGCAUCGGCUAACUCCGUGCCAGCAGCCGCGGUAAUACGGGGGAUGCAAGCGGUAUCCGGAUUUAAUGGGUUUAAAGGGUGCGUAGGCUGGGAGGUAAGUCAGCGGUGAAAUGCCCCCGCUCAACGGGGUGAAGUGCCAUUGAUACUGGCAUGCUGGAAUGCGGAUGCCGUGGGAGGAAUGUGUGGGGUAGCGGUGAAAUGCGUAGAUAUCACACAGAACACCGAUUGCGAAGGCAUCUCACGAAUCCGCGAUUGACGCUGAUGCACGAAAGCGUGGGUAUCAAACAGGAUUAGAUACCCUUGUAGUC